AAAGAACUAAAGACUUUAUCACUGCAUUCUUUAUAACCUUUGCAUGAAAUGAUCACUCCUCUGGAUAAGUGGGGGUUUUUUACCUGUUGGGAUUUAAUUUUCUGUUUAAAGCAGGCUGAAACCUGUUGUUUGUGGUUACAAACAGGUCUUGCACAAGCCUUGAGCACCACCUGAAGUGGAUGGCAAACAUCCACGUGCUUUCCUGGCAGCCACAGCUCAGUGUGACACAAGGACAGCUCCCAGCCCUGGCUCGCCCCGCUGAGCCCCUGUGGUCUCACCACCCACUUGUUUUCCACCAGAUUUGUCCUCUCAAAGGACACAGGCAAUACUCAGGCAGACUUACACAUUCACAGUUCUGAAAUCCUGUGCCCAAGAGGUGCUGAACCUUUCUUUAGCAACUGCUGCCUAUGAACUCAAAGGCUGUAACACACAGAGGCUCAAGAGUGCAGGUGAGACACAGGGUGGCUGGAACUUUAUGGCUAGUGUUCAGGGCACAGCAGAGAGGCUGAACUGCUGGAGACUCUAGUGAAACUGCUGUAAGGCUGGCUGCUGGCUGGUGACACCAGUGUUCCUGUGUGCCCCCAACAUGACAGUGCUGUUGGGAUCCAGAAGCAAUCUGCAGGGGAAGGACAUCCAAUCCUUAGUGAGUACAGCAUGAUGUGAGGGAAGUGAGACUGUUGCUCCUCCGACAGCAGAGAGAGACCUUCCUCCUGACAAUGUCAGGAACAACUUGGAGGUAACAGUCUUCUGCUGCUCUUCCCUAUGGGAUCAAUAACUGUAAUGUCUGCAUUUACAGGGCUAACAUGUGACUGCAAACUUCAUUCUCUCCAA
Molecule: long non-coding RNA, 831 nt
Organism: Passer montanus (Eurasian tree sparrow)
Lineage: Eukaryota; Metazoa; Chordata; Aves; Passeriformes; Passeridae
Exons: 2
Source: RefSeq, a predicted model, not a curated record